This is a long non-coding RNA of Ornithorhynchus anatinus (platypus), 413 nucleotides long. RefSeq lists it as uncharacterized. Lineage: Eukaryota; Metazoa; Chordata; Mammalia; Monotremata; Ornithorhynchidae. The transcript is spliced from 2 exons. The record is from RefSeq and is a predicted model, not a curated record.
AAAGUGAAUAAGGUUGGCUUGGUGCUUAGUGGUGAUCUGACUGUAGGGAAAGAGGGAAGAUGAACUGGAGAAAAAGGCCGGUCCACAGCCGCAGGAGAACGAGAACGCUGGAUUGUAUAAUGCUGGCGGGCAGGAAGACGGUUAUCAGAGAUUACGACAGUUGAUGACCUGCCCAGGCUAAGGCCGCUCUGGGGAGAGAUCUUGGCGUCCUCUGGAAAGUCUCUGUCGCGAGAGACGGUUGAUGGUCCGCGCCGGUUUGUGGCCCAUCGGGUGAAGAGAUCUCGUGGUUCUCGGGCAGCUUCCCAGAAGGACAACGGCGCAGUUUCCAUGACCAACCUCCGGAGGCAGGGCGGAGGAGCCAAGAGCGGCCUCCUCUGGAAUCCGGCAAAGAAAAUGGGUCGGGCUAGAUCGUG